CGCUGGCGGCAUGCCUAAUACAUGCAAGUCGAGCGAACAGAUGAAGUGCUUGCACUUCUGACGUUAGCGGCGAACGGGUGAGUAACACGUAAGGAAUCUACCUAUAAGCGGGGGAUAACAUUCGGAAACGGGUGCUAAUACCGCAUAAUACCUUCUUCCGCAUGGAAGAAGAUUGAAAGACGGCUCUGCUGUCACUUAUAGAUGACCUUGCGGUGCAUUAGUUAGUUGGUGGGGUAACGGCCUACCAAGACGAUGAUGCAUAGCCGACCUGAGAGGGUGAUCGGCCACAUUGGGACUGAGACACGGCCCAAACUCCUACGGGAGGCAGCAGUAGGGAAUCUUCCGCAAUGGGCGAAAGCCUGACGGAGCAAUGCCGCGUGAGUGAAGAAGGCCUUCGGGUCGUAAAACUCUGUUAUAAGAGAAGAACAAAUUGUAGAGUAACUGCUACAGCCUUGACGGUAUCUUAUCAGAAAGCCACGGCUAACUACGUGCCAGCAGCCGCGGUAAUACGUAGGUGGCAAGCGUUGUCCGGAUUUAUUGGGCGUAAAGGGAGCGCAGGUGGUUUCUUAAGUCUGAUGUGAAAGCCCACGGGUUAACCGUGGAGGGUCAUUGGAAACUGGGAAACUUGAGUACAGAAGAGGAAUGUGGAACUCCAUGUGUAGCGGUGGAAUGCGUAGAUAUAUGGAAGAACACCAGUGGCGAAGGCGACAUUCUGGUCUGUUACUGACACUGAGGCUCGAAAGCGUGGGGAGCAAACAGGAUUAGAUACCCUGGUAGUCC
Molecule: ribosomal RNA, 780 nt
Filed under: uncultured bacterium
Lineage: Bacteria
Description: bacterial SSU rRNA
Rfam family: Bacterial small subunit ribosomal RNA
Source: RNAcentral